UACGAAGGGGGCUAGCGUUGUUCGGAAUUACUGGGCGUAAAGGGCGCGUAGGCGGCGUGUCAAGUCAGGCGUGAAAGCCCCGGGCUCAACCUGGGAACCGCGCUUGAGACUGGCAUGCUCGAGUUCGGGAGAGGUGAGUGGAAUUCCCAGUGUAGCGGUGAAAUGCGUAGAUAUUGGGAGGAACACCAGUGGCGAAGGCGGCUCACUGGGCCGGUACUGACGCUCAUGCACGAAAGCGUGGGGAGCAAACAGG
This 253-nucleotide ribosomal RNA is filed under the name uncultured bacterium. RNAcentral describes it as "partial 16S ribosomal RNA". It matches the Rfam family "Bacterial small subunit ribosomal RNA", at positions 524 to 776 of the family's 1533-position model. The record is from RNAcentral.